AUGAACGCUGGCGGCGUGCCUAAUACAUGCAAGUCGAGCGAACAGACGAGGAGCUUGCUCCUCUGACGUUAGCGGCGGACGGGUGAGUAACACGUGGAUAACCUACCUAUAAGACUGGGAUAACUUCGGGAAACCGGAGCUAAUACCGGAUAAUAUAUUGAACCGCAUGGUUCAAUAGUGAAAGACGGUUUUGCUGUCACUUAUAGAUGGAUCCGCGCCGCAUUAGCUAGUUGGUAAGGUAACGGCUUACCAAGGCAACGAUGCGUAGCCGACCUGAGAGGGUGAUAGGCCACACUGGAACUGAGACACGGUCCAGACUCCUACGGGAGGCAGCAGUAGGGAAUCUUCCGCAAUGGGCGAAAGCCUGACGGAGCAACGCCGCGUGAGGGAUGAAGGUCUUCGGAUCGUAAAACUCUGUUAUUAGGGAAGAACAAAUGUGUAAGUAACUAUGCACGUCUUGACGGUACCUAAUCAGAAAGCCACGGCUAACUACGUG
Molecule: ribosomal RNA, 496 nt
Filed under: uncultured bacterium
Lineage: Bacteria
Description: partial 16S ribosomal RNA
Rfam family: Bacterial small subunit ribosomal RNA
Source: RNAcentral